RNAcentral lists this ribosomal RNA (341 nucleotides) under uncultured bacterium. Its description in RNAcentral is "bacterial SSU rRNA". It matches the Rfam family "Bacterial small subunit ribosomal RNA", at positions 134 to 507 of the family's 1533-position model. The record is from RNAcentral.
GGGUGGGGGACAACANCGGGAAACUGCUGCUAAUACCGCAUGAUACCUGAGGGUCAAAGGCGCAAGUCGCCUUAGGAGGAGCCUGCGUCUGAUUAGCUUGUUGGUGGGGUAAAGGCCUACCAAGGCGACGAUCAGUAGCUGGUCUGAGAGGAUGAUCAGCCACAUUGGGACUGAGACACGGCCCAAACUCCUACGGGAGGCAGCAGUGGGGAAUAUUGGACAAUGGGCGAAAGCCUGAUCCAGCAAUGCCGCGUGUGUGAAGAAGGUCUUCGGAUUGUAAAGCACUUUUGGCAGGGACGAUGAUGACGGUACCUGCAGAAUAAGCUCCGGCUAACUUCGUG